GGCGGGCCUAUACAUGCAAGUCGAGCGGACAGAUGGGAGCUUGCUCCCUGAUGUUAGCGGCGGACGGGUGAGUAACACGUGGGUAACCUGCCUGUAAGACUGGGAUAACUCCGGGAAACCGGGGCUAAUACCGGAUGCUUGAUUGAACCGCAUGGUUCAAUUAUAAAAGGUGGCUUUUAGCUACCACUUACAGAUGGACCCGCGGCGCAUUAGCUAGUUGGUGAGGUAACGGCUCACCAAGGCAACGAUGCGUAGCCGACCUGAGAGGGUGAUCGGCCACACUGGGACUGAGACACGGCCCAGACUCCUACGGGAGGCAGCAGUAGGGAAUCUUCCGCAAUGGACGAAAGUCUGACGGAGCAACGCCGCGUGAGUGAUGAAGGUUUUCGGAUCGUAAAACUCUGUUGUUAGGGAAGAACAAGUACCGUUCGAAUAGGGCGGUACCUUGACGGUACCUAACCAGAAAGCCACGGCUAACUACGUGCCAGCAGCCGCGGUAAUACGUAGGUGGCAAGCGUUGUCCGGAAUUAUUGGGCGUAAAGCGCGCGCAGGCGGUUUCUUAAGUCUGAUGUGAAAGCCCCCGGCUCAACCGGGGAGGGUCAUUGGAAACUGGGGAACUUGAGUGCAGAAGAGGAGAGUGGAAUUCCACGUGUAGCGGUGAAAUGCGUAGAGAUGUGGAGGAACACCAGUGGCGAAGGCGACUCUCUGGUCUGUAACUGACGCUGAGGCGCGAAAGCGUGGGGAGCGAACAGGAUUAG
This 758-nucleotide ribosomal RNA is filed under the name Bacillus licheniformis. RNAcentral describes it as "bacterial SSU rRNA". It matches the Rfam family "Bacterial small subunit ribosomal RNA", at positions 41 to 781 of the family's 1533-position model. The record is from RNAcentral. Lineage: Bacteria; Bacillati; Bacillota; Bacilli; Caryophanales; Bacillaceae.